Molecule: long non-coding RNA, 388 nt
Filed under: Heterocephalus glaber (naked mole-rat)
Lineage: Eukaryota; Metazoa; Chordata; Mammalia; Rodentia; Bathyergidae
Description: lncRNA (ENSHGLG00100045947.1)
Source: RNAcentral
GAAAUUAUUGAGGAAAAAGAAUUGCUUUAUAAGACUGAAAACUUACUUUUUAUUACAGAAAAAAUGGUGCAUCUCAUUAAUAACACCUAGUAGAUGGAUUUAAACCAGAGAACACCUUGUGAAGUGCAUUGGACUCAGAUGAGUGCAAUGACAGUCAUCACAGAAUGAAAUAGUUACACCAAAACUUGUUGUAGUCACACAAGACUUUAACAGUGGAGAAGAGUGGGUAGAAGUUGAACAGAACAUCCCUGAGGAUUUCUUGGCAGCUUUCUAUGAAUCUACAACUACUGCAAAACAAAGGGUUAAAACAAAUGGGUAAUGAGCAAGAGGGGAAGAAAGAAUUGUGCUCAAAAAUCUCUCUGAGGGAAGUCUAAAAAUACAAUCUUUU